This 695-nucleotide ribosomal RNA is filed under the name Pseudomonas aeruginosa. RNAcentral's name for it is "bacterial SSU rRNA". It matches the Rfam family "Bacterial small subunit ribosomal RNA", at positions 69 to 760 of the family's 1533-position model. The record is from RNAcentral. Lineage: Bacteria; Pseudomonadati; Pseudomonadota; Gammaproteobacteria; Pseudomonadales; Pseudomonadaceae.
UGCCCUGUUUGUACCUCGCAUGCGUACGUCAGCGGAGGAUGAGUAAUGCCUAGGAAUCUGCAUGGUAGUGGGGGAUAACGUCCGGAAACGGGCGCUAAUACCGCAUACGUCCUGAGGGAGAAGUGGGGGAUCUUCGGACCUCACGCUAUCAGAUGAGCCUAUGUCGGAUUAGCUAGUUGGUGGGGUAAAGGCCUACCAAGGCGACGAUCCAUAACUGGUCUGAGAGGAUGAUCAUUCACACUGGAACUGACACACAGUCCAUACUCCUACGGGAGGCAGCCGUGGGGAAUAUUGGACAAUGGGCCAAAGCCUGAUCCAGCCAUGCCGCGUGUGUGAAGAAGGUCUUCGGAUUGUAAAGCACUUUAAGUUGGGAGGAAGGGCAGUAAGUUAAUACCUUGCUGUUUUGACGUUACCAACAUAAUAAGCACCGGCUAACUUCGUGCCAGCAGCCGCGGUAAUACGAACGGUGCAAGCGUUAAUCGGAAUUACUGGGCGUAAAGCGCGCGUAGGUGGUUCAGCAAGUUGGAUGUGAAAUCCCCGGGCUCAACCUGGGAACUGCAUCCAAAACUACUGAGCUAGAGUACGGUAGAGGGUGGUGGAAUUACCUGUGUAGCGGUGAAAUGCGUAGAUAUAGGAAGGAACACCAGUGGCGAAGGCGACCACCUGGACAGAUACUGAUACUCAGAUGCUGCACU